AUCCCAAAAAGUGUCAGAAGUAGUUUGAUUCUUGGGAGAUCAAAGACAAUGUUGAUCUGCUUCGACAAGGCAGAAAGACACCUCCCUGAUCGUUGCUUAAGGCAAAUUGGCAUGCUUCAAGGAAUCCCAAAAGAUGUGGAUCAUUGGGAGAGAAAGAGCCGUGGAGUUGACAGUGGGAUAGACCUGUCGGGGAAAAUGGAAUCAGAGCUUAGUGAAUGGUCAGCCCGUAAACUCCACAUUGUGCAAGAUGAUGGUGGCG
Molecule: unclassified non-coding RNA, 259 nt
Filed under: Hevea brasiliensis (rubber tree)
Lineage: Eukaryota; Viridiplantae; Streptophyta; Magnoliopsida; Malpighiales; Euphorbiaceae
Source: RNAcentral